AACUUUCAACAACGGAUCUCUUAGCUCUAGCAUCGAUGAAGAACGCAGC
RNAcentral lists this ribosomal RNA (49 nucleotides) under uncultured Ceratocystis. RNAcentral describes it as "partial 5.8S ribosomal RNA". It matches the Rfam family "5.8S ribosomal RNA", at positions 1 to 49 of the family's 154-position model. Rfam says of the family: 5.8S ribosomal RNA (5.8S rRNA) is a component of the large subunit of the eukaryotic ribosome. It is transcribed by RNA polymerase I as part of the 45S precursor that also contains 18S and 28S rRNA. The record is from RNAcentral. Lineage: Eukaryota; Fungi; Ascomycota; Sordariomycetes; Microascales; Ceratocystidaceae.